RNAcentral lists this small RNA (410 nucleotides) under Arabidopsis thaliana (thale cress). RNAcentral's name for it is "ATSL144500". Lineage: Eukaryota; Viridiplantae; Streptophyta; Magnoliopsida; Brassicales; Brassicaceae. The record is from RNAcentral.
AUACUUUUAUGUACACUAAUCUCAUAUUAUUAUUAUUUAAACUUUGUUUUGUAUAUUAUCACUUGACAAAAAUGGUUCUGUCUUUUGUAUAUGAGGUGUACACAAUAGGUGAAGGUGUACGAUAUUAUAGACGGUGUAGAAGUUGAUUUAUGGUUUGAUUUAUUAUCUCAUUAUUGCAUGUAUACUAUUAAUAUCAUGUACACCAUAUGUUACAUUUUCGUACACCAUCUUAUUAUGUAGUUGCACAUCGUUGUAUAUUAUCGUUUGUACAUCACUUUGUACACUGUCUAUACCGUAUACCACUUCUUAGAUCAAUAUUAUACAUUAUCGUUGUACACUACUAUUUGUACACCACAUUUUUACCAUAUCGCAUACACCGUCGGGUUAAGAUCAAAUAAAAGAAAAGUAUU